AAACCAGCACCUCAAGUGGUCAGGAGGAUUAUUGGGCCUAAAGCAUCCGUAGCCUGCUUUGUUAGUUUUCGGUUAAAUCCAUAUGCUCAACAUAUGGGCUGCCGGGAAUACUGCACAGCUAGGGAGUGGGAGAGGUAGACGGUACUCCAUAGGAAGGGGUAAAAUCCUUUGAUCUAUGGAAGACCACCUGUGGCGAAGGCGGUCUACCAGAACACGUUCGACGGUGAGGGAUGAAAGCUGGGGGAGCAAACCGGAUUAGAAACCCGUGUAGUCC
This 274-nucleotide ribosomal RNA is filed under the name uncultured bacterium. Its description in RNAcentral is "partial 16S ribosomal RNA". It matches the Rfam family "Archaeal small subunit ribosomal RNA", at positions 473 to 747 of the family's 1478-position model. The record is from RNAcentral.